This 527-nucleotide ribosomal RNA is filed under the name uncultured bacterium. Its description in RNAcentral is "bacterial SSU rRNA". It matches the Rfam family "Bacterial small subunit ribosomal RNA", at positions 777 to 1301 of the family's 1533-position model. The record is from RNAcentral.
AAUAGAUACCCAGGUAGUCCACGCCGUAAACGAUGAGUGCUAAGUGUUAGAGGGUUUCCGCCCUUUAGUGCUGCAGCUAACGCAUUAAGCACUCCGCCUGGGGAGUACGGUCGCAAGACUGAAACUCAAAGGAAUUGACGGGGGCCCGCACAAGCGGUGGAGCAUGUGGUUUAAUUCGAAGCAACGCGAAGAACCUUACCAGGUCUUGACAUCCCACUGACCGGUAUAGAGGUAUACCUUUCCCUUCGGGGACAGUGGUGACAGGUGGUGCAUGGUUGUCGUCAGCUCGUGUCGUGAGAUGUUGGGUUAAGUCCCGCAACGAGCGCAACCCUUGAUCUUAGUUGCCAGCAUUUAGCUGGGCACUCUAAGGUGACUGCCGGUGACAAACCGGAGGAAGGUGGGGAUGACGUCAAAUCAUCAUGCCCCUUAUGACCUGGGCUACACACGUGCUACAAUGGAUGGUACAAAGGGCUGCAAGACUGCGAAGUCAAGCCAAUCCCAUAAAACCCAUUCUCAGUUCGGAUUGC